UUAACUCAAAUUUGAAUGGAGUUGCAAUGAUUGCUUACGCUUGCCGCUAGGGAUGCUCUUCCAACUGUAUACGGAUUUGAGUUA
RNAcentral lists this microRNA precursor (84 nucleotides) under Bombyx mori (domestic silkworm). RNAcentral describes it as "mir-2807 microRNA precursor family". It matches the Rfam family "mir-2807 microRNA precursor family". The record is from Rfam by way of RNAcentral. Lineage: Eukaryota; Metazoa; Arthropoda; Insecta; Lepidoptera; Bombycidae.